RNAcentral lists this ribosomal RNA (253 nucleotides) under uncultured bacterium. RNAcentral's name for it is "partial 16S ribosomal RNA". It matches the Rfam family "Bacterial small subunit ribosomal RNA", at positions 524 to 776 of the family's 1533-position model. The record is from RNAcentral.
GACGAACCGAGCGAACGUUGUUCGGAAUCACUGGGCUUAAAGGGCGCGUAGGCGGGCUGUCAAGUUUGGGGUGAAAUCCCGCGGCUCAACCGUGGAACUGCCUCAAAUACUGACGGUCUCGAGGGGGAUAGGGGCGAGCGGAACUAAUGGUGGAGCGGUGAAAUGCGUUGAUAUCAUUAGGAACUCCGGUGGCGAAGGCGGCUCGCUGGAUCUCUUCUGACGCUGAGGCGCGAAAGCUAGGGGAGCAAACGGG